Molecule: non-coding RNA, 26 nt
Filed under: Mus musculus (house mouse)
Lineage: Eukaryota; Metazoa; Chordata; Mammalia; Rodentia; Muridae
Source: RNAcentral
UUUGAGAUGAUGUUUGCGAAGGCCGC